UAGGCGACCGGGUGAGUAACACGUGACUAACCUACCUUCGAGUGGGGGAUAACCUAAGGAAACCUGGGGCUAAUACCGCAUAACAUCUUUGGAGUGGAAAUUCCGCAGAUCAAAGGAGCAAUUCGCUGGAAGAGGGGGUCGCGGCUGAUUAGCUAGUUGGCGGGGUAAUGGCCCACCAAGGCUUUGAUCGGUAGCCGGCCUGAGAGGGCGCACGGCCACACUGGAACUGAAACACGGGCCAG
Molecule: ribosomal RNA, 242 nt
Filed under: uncultured bacterium
Lineage: Bacteria
Description: partial 16S ribosomal RNA
Rfam family: Bacterial small subunit ribosomal RNA
Source: RNAcentral